CACGCCCUAAACGAUGAGUGCUCGAUGUUGGAUGUUUUAGACAUUCAGUAUCUUAGCUAACGCGUUAAGCACUCCGCCUGGGGAGNUACGCGAAGAACCUUACCAACCUUUGCAUGUCUGUCGUACUUUCCUGAAAGGGAGAGGUCAUUUAGUUGGACAGAACACAGGUGC
Molecule: ribosomal RNA, 171 nt
Filed under: uncultured bacterium
Lineage: Bacteria
Description: partial 16S ribosomal RNA
Rfam family: Bacterial small subunit ribosomal RNA (bases 1-78)
Source: RNAcentral